GUACACGUGUGACUAGCAUAUCAAUAAGCGGAGGAAAAGAAACUAACAAGGAUUCCCCUAGUAACGGCGAGUGAAGCGGGAAGAGCUCAAAUUUGAAAUCUUAAAGGGUUUCCCUUUACGAAUUGUAGUUUAAAGAAGUGUUUUCUGUUGAGGUUUUGGUAAAAGUUCUUUGGAAUAGGACAUCAUAGAGGGUGAGAAUCCCGUAUUUGACCUUUACUUUCAACUUUGUGAUACACUUUCAAAGAGUCGGAUUGUUUGGGAAUGCAGUCCAAAAUGGGUGGUAAAUUUCAUCUAAAGCUAAAUAUUGGCGAGAGACCGAUAGCGAACAAGUACCGUGAGGGAAAGAUGAAAAGAACUUUGAGAAGAGAGUUAAACAGUACGUGAAAUUGUCAAAAGGGAAGCGUUUGACACCAGUGUUGUUUUUCUGAAAAUCAAUUAAAGAACUGUUUAUGCUAAGCUGUUUAGACUUUAUCAGCUAUCUGUUUAGUUUUGAGCUUUUCUUUAAUGCACUUUUCAGUUAACAAGUCAACAUCAAUUUCUUUUGCUGUAGAAAAGCUUGAGGAAGGUGGCUUGAGAUUCGUCUUAAGUGUUUAUAGCCUCUUGCCUAUGCAGUCGGAGAGAUUGAGGUCUGCAGCGUAGAUCCUUCGGGGCUAAAUGCAUUUGUGCUAAGUUAUAGCAUUUUAUAGACAACUUGUUGACUAUGAUUUGUCUUGUAGCUUACUCGCUUAUGUUAUUUUACCUACGCUUAGGAUGUUGACGCGCGUGUGUGCGUG
This 773-nucleotide ribosomal RNA is filed under the name uncultured Neocallimastigales. Its description in RNAcentral is "partial large subunit ribosomal RNA". It matches the Rfam family "Eukaryotic large subunit ribosomal RNA", at positions 22 to 639 of the family's 3401-position model. The record is from RNAcentral. Lineage: Eukaryota; Fungi; Neocallimastigomycota; Neocallimastigomycetes; Neocallimastigales.